AUACGUAGGGUGCGAGCGUUGUCCGGAAUUACUGGGCGUAAAGAGCUCGUAGGUGGUUUGUCGCGUCGUCUGUGAAAUUCCGGGGCUUAACUCCGGGCGUGCAGGCGAUACGGGCAUAACUUGAGUACUGUAGGGGAGACUGGAAUUCCUGGUGUAGCGGUGAAAUGCGCAGAUAUCAGGAGGAACACCGGUGGCGAAGGCGGGUCCCUGGGCAGUAACUGACGCUGAGGAGCGAAAGCAUGGGUAGCGAACAGGAUUAGAUACCCUGGUAGUCCAUGCCGUAAACGGUGGGCGCUAGGUGUAGGGGUCUUCCACGACUUCUGUGCCGUAGCUAACGCAUUAAGCGCCCCGCCUGGGGAGUACGGCCGCAAGGCUAAAACUCAAAUGAAUUGACGGGG
Molecule: ribosomal RNA, 398 nt
Filed under: uncultured bacterium
Lineage: Bacteria
Description: partial 16S ribosomal RNA
Rfam family: Bacterial small subunit ribosomal RNA
Source: RNAcentral